This is a small nucleolar RNA of Tachyglossus aculeatus (Australian echidna), 138 nucleotides long. The record is from RefSeq and is a predicted model, not a curated record. Lineage: Eukaryota; Metazoa; Chordata; Mammalia; Monotremata; Tachyglossidae.
CCCCUCUCAGGGUCACACCUGGAGAGUUUCCAGUAUUCUACCAAUCUUGGGUAAGGGAGGAAGAGUCAAGCAGAGGCCUAUCCAUUCCAUUCGUAGCUUGGGCAACGGCUAGCAAGUGGAAGGCAAUCUGCUACAAGU